RNAcentral lists this ribosomal RNA (773 nucleotides) under uncultured Neocallimastigales. RNAcentral describes it as "partial large subunit ribosomal RNA". It matches the Rfam family "Eukaryotic large subunit ribosomal RNA", at positions 24 to 616 of the family's 3401-position model. The record is from RNAcentral. Lineage: Eukaryota; Fungi; Neocallimastigomycota; Neocallimastigomycetes; Neocallimastigales.
AUGUGAUCGUCUCUCGCAUAUCAAUAAGCGGAGGAAAAGAAACUAACAAGGAUUCCCCUAGUAACGGCGAGUGAAGCGGGAAGAGCUCAAAUUUGAAAUCUUAAAGGGUUUCCCUUUACGAAUUGUAGUUUAAAGAAGUGUUUUCUGUUGAGGUUUUGGUAAAAGUUCUUUGGAAUAGGACAUCAUAGAGGGUGAGAAUCCCGUAUUUGACCUUUACUUUCAAUUUUGUGAUACACUUUCAAAGAGUCGGAUUGUUUGGGAAUGCAGUCCAAAAUGGGUGGUAAAUUUCAUCUAAAGCUAAAUAUUGGCGAGAGACCGAUAGCGAACAAGUACCGUGAGGGAAAGAUGAAAAGAACUUUGAAAAGAGAGUUAAACAGUACGUGAAAUUGUCAAAAGGGAAGCGUUUGACACCAGUGUUGUUUUUCUGAAAAUCAAUUAAAGAACUGUUUAUGCUAAGCUGUUUAGACUUUAUCAGCUAUCUGUUUAGUUUUGAGCUUUUCUUUAAUGCACUUUUCAGUUAACAAGUCAACAUCAAUUUCUUUUGCUGUAAAAAAGCUUGAGGAAGGUGGCUUGAGAUUCGUCUUAAGUGUUUAUAGCCUCUUGCCUAUGCAGUCGGAGAGAUUGAGGUCUGCAGCGUAGAUCCUUCGGGGCUAAAUGCAUUUGUGCUAAGUUAUAGCAUUUUAUAGACAACUUGUUGACUAUGAUUUGUCUUGUAGCUUACUCGCUUAUGUUAUUUUACCUACGCUUAGGAUGUUGAGCGCAUGUCUCUCUCU